RNAcentral lists this long non-coding RNA (774 nucleotides) under Bos grunniens (domestic yak). RNAcentral describes it as "lncRNA (ENSBGRG00000026599.1)". The record is from RNAcentral. Lineage: Eukaryota; Metazoa; Chordata; Mammalia; Artiodactyla; Bovidae.
GAGCUCAGUAAUGAGGGAACCAUGAUUCAGAAGGACUCAUGAGACCAGCCUUACUUUGGACCACAAUGUAGCUACUUGGUUGACCUCCGUGUGGUCUGGUCAGUUCUGGGGGCUGAGAGUGAAACUUGGCCUGCAAAGCUUCCCUGAACUGUUCCUCCUGAGGUAACUCCCAUUUCCCAGAAAAUAUAUUUCUCUUCCCACAUGCUUUACCCCUUGUUUCAGAAGGAAUGUCAAGUUUGAUGACUGCUUAAAACUGAUUCGGUUUCCAACAUCUGGUAAUAUUGUCUUAGCUACUUACCUGGUUGAAAUACAAUGUCGAGAGGAACUGAACACUCCUUUUCUCAGAACAGAUCUGAAUGCAGCGUACUGAUUGGUUUCACGUCCAAGAGCCUCUUAUGCUUUCUGCAUCUUUCAAACUCGGAUGCUUGCCUGGCUUGUGGUACUCUGAAUUGGGCGAGACGAGCAAACCGUGUAUUAGCAGCCAUUGCAGCCUGAAGCUUUGCUUUAUCUCAUCUGGGACUUGUGUUGCACACACAUUGGAGAAGACACAUGCCCAGUGGUGUGGCGGAAUGGGCACUGAAUGGACCCACCCCAGCACAGUGCAACUAUAAACCCAGACAAUCCACAAAGAUCAACAAAGGGAUAUGGAGAGUGAACAAAGGGAUACGCAGGCAGAGGGAGUUGAACGUCAGAGGAAGGUGUCCAGUUUUGAAAGCUGUACUGUGUUGGGCACUGGGAAAAUAAAGAAGCCUCCUGACUGCUCCUCAUAUGAGC